This 1238-nucleotide long non-coding RNA is filed under the name Corvus moneduloides (New Caledonian crow). RNAcentral describes it as "lncRNA (ENSCMUG00000018956.1)". The record is from RNAcentral. Lineage: Eukaryota; Metazoa; Chordata; Aves; Passeriformes; Corvidae.
CAGCGCGAGGAGGCGGUGGCGGCGGCGGCGCCCGGGCGCGGCGCGGCCGCGGGAGCGGGGGUGGGUUUAUGGCGGCGGCUCUGUCCGCGCUCGCUGCCAGGCUCUCCCAGUCGGCCGCGGCCAGGUCCUACGGCGUGUUCUGCAAGGGGCUUACCAGGACCCUUCUCAUCUUCUUCGACCUGGCCUGGAAGCUCCGCAUCAACUUCCCCUACCUCUACAUCGUCGCCUCCAUGAUGCUCAACGUGCGGCUGCAGGUCCAUAUUGAGAUCCAUUAACUUGUGAUUUGGUGUGCUGCUUGCACUGUAUGCUGCAACUAGUCAGUCACACUCUUCUUCAAAUCCAGCCUGUUGUGAAGCAGCAAAGCUGUGCUCGUGUGCUCUAGGACUAUGAAGAAAGAAGAUUUUACCCAGAAACGAGUACGUGACGAUGGCCCAGAUCAUCACAAGCCAGCAGCUCAUCUGACACAUGUGCAUUCCAUGUUGGACAGUUCUCAAAAUCAUCGUAGCAGUUUACAAGAAUUAUAUAACAUCGGGAAUUGUUCUCUCUUUAAUAAUAUACCUCUGCCUUCUGGUGGCAAGGAAAUGCCUCUGAGCUUCAGUGAAUCAGCAGGGACGAACUCAAGUGCAGCUGCUCCUUGGAAGGAUUCAUUUCAUCUGCAUUUUUCUUCUGGGAAAGACAGUCUCGAUAGGGCUUCUCACUGCAUCGAUGGUAUCUCAGUAACAGGCUGGCUGGAAGAAGCUUGUAGCAUUUCUGGAGACUUCAGCUCACGCUGCCCAGGAGACAACUUUGUAUGUUUUGCACAAUUCUGGCUGGGAAAUUUGCAGUAUAAUAAAAACCUGUGGUUUCUGGAAUUAGAAAUGAGCAGUGGCAAAGAGAAUGAAUUGCAGUUUGCAUUUUUUAAAGUAUUGGAGCUUGGUGGACUUCUUGAUCCCUGUUCUAAGAACAACUAUGCUGUGGGACUCAUAAACAACCAGAAACCAUGUUUUUCUCUUUGUUACUUAAACCUUGUAUCUUCAGAGCAAACACUUGGAUACGAGCAAAUGCUUUUGAAUAUACAAUAUGUGACUAAUACUUUUCACAUCAUACAGCUAGUGAUCUCUGUGCUAGCUUUUGCACUAGCAGGUCUCUGGUGUGCAGUAGUGAAGAGAAAGAUGUUUACAACUUUGUAUGUAUUUUUAAAAUGUAUUGUGACACUUUUAACUUGGGAGAGAAGUUUCCAUAGUAGACUUGAAACCUGA